GUGAGUUCCUAAUACGUGCCAGGUGCUUUACUAGGUGCUGAGGAUGUAACAUGAACAAAAAUAAUAAAGUCUCUGUUUUUAGGGAAUUUACAUUUUAUUUGUAGAGACAGACAAUAAACAAAUACAAACAUAAAUACAUGUCAGAUGGUGAUAAGUACUAUAGAGAAAAAUAAGGUAGUGUGGUCAUGGCCAGGAAGGCCCCUAAGAGGGCAGAAUGGAAAAGUCUAAGAGCAGAGGCAUAGAUAAGGAGCAAUGCUCAUAGCCACAGGGAUACCUGGGCAUAAGCCUUCUUGACCAAUGACCAUAUUGCUCACUGGGCAGCAAUAUGAUAGGGUUAAAGGAAGGGAAGCAGUGCCCACGGUUCUGUGCUUCUCUGCCCUAGUGGACAUCUCAUUCCACAUGGGCUAUGGAAAUGACCACCUUCUGGAAAAGCCUCUGUGAGAAAAGAAGGGAAGCCAAGGGAAAGCUUGUCUCCAAUUACUCUCUCAUUUAUUCUUUGCAUUGUUUAUUGGCUGUUUGAGGAAUCUUGAGCCAAGUCCUAGUCAUUAUUUUUGCCCAUCCUCGAACUUGAAACAGUCUUCAUGGUCUGGCCUGCAUUGUGCUAAUCUGUAUUGUUAAGAAUACACUACAGACAGACAUUGCCAGCAUUGAGGGUGGAGGUGAGACUCACUUUAGAAAAGGUGAUCAGGCAAUACCUAAUGAAGUGACAUUCCAGCAGACUUAACUGAAGGAAGGCAGUGAGCCUUGGGAUACAUGUGAGGGAAGGAGGGUGUGGAAUUCCUGGCCCAGAAACAGCAAGUGCAAAGGCUCUGAAGCAGGAUUGCCCUUGGUACGUUCAAAGGAAAGUGAGGCAGCUGUGUGGCUGUAGAGGAGUGAGAAAGGGGGAGAGUUACAGGAGGUGAUGUAAGAAGAGCUUUGGAGGCCUAGAUUACCUACAGGUAGGGCAUUGUUCGACUUUUAUUCUGAAUAAAAUGUUGGGAUUUGAGCAGGGGAGUGACAUGAUGUGGCUUAGAUUUAGAAAAGAUCGCUCUAGCUACUCUGUUUAGAAGAGGCUCUAGGGGUCAAGUAUGGAAGCAGGAAGAUCAGUUGUGAGGCCAUUGCACCAAUCCAAGCAAGAGAUGAUAGCAGCUUUGACUACUAUGUUAGCAGUAGAGACAGUGAGAAGCGGCUGAAUUCUGGAUAAUCCGUAUCUUGAAGGUAGAGCACACCAGAUUGGCUGAUGGAUUUGAUGUGAGGUUUAUGAAAAAGAGAGGAAUCUAGAAUGACUUCCUAUUUUUAGCCUGUGCAACUGGAAAAAAAAAGGAGCUGAGAUGAGGAAACCAUGGGAGGAAAAUCAAGUUUGCCUUUGAACAUGUUGUAUCUGAUAAUGCCUAUUGGACAAGCAAAAUGGGAAUUUGGAAAAGACAGCAACGUAUGCCUUAAGGGGAAUUUAUAUGAGAAGGUACCCAAGUUAUACUAGUUUACUUGAAGGGAUACAUUACAUAUUUGGUUAGACCUUCCAUUCUAAAACAAUGAGAAACUGAAAUUUAUAAAUGGUUCUUGGUGUUUGUUAUGACUGUAAACCUAAUAAUACUUGGACUCCUGCAUUGUCAUGUAUUUAUUAUGUAUAUUUUACCAAUCUACCCUCAAAAAGAUAUGUUUACAAUAAAGAUGAUUUUGCAAUGAAAUCAUUAAACAAACACUUUUUAAAACAUGAGCUAUCUACAAAGACUUGUACAUGCAUGUUCAUAGCAACUUUAUUCAUACUUCCCAACUUGGAAACAAUGAAAAUACCUACACAGAAAAAAAUGAUAAAUU
This 1797-nucleotide long non-coding RNA is filed under the name Homo sapiens (human). RNAcentral's name for it is "HSALNT0201485". Lineage: Eukaryota; Metazoa; Chordata; Mammalia; Primates; Hominidae. The record is from RNAcentral.